This 210-nucleotide ribosomal RNA is filed under the name uncultured Bacillota bacterium. Its description in RNAcentral is "uncultured Firmicutes bacterium partial 16S ribosomal RNA". It matches the Rfam family "Bacterial small subunit ribosomal RNA", at positions 295 to 522 of the family's 1533-position model. Lineage: Bacteria; Bacillati; Bacillota. The record is from RNAcentral.
AGAGGGUGAACGGCCACAUUGGGACUGAGACACGGCCCAAACUCCUACGGGAGGCAGCAGUGGGGAAUAUUGCACAAUGGGGGAAACCCUGAUGCAGCGACGCCGCGUGAGAUGAUGAAGUAUUUCGGUAUGUAAAACUCUAUCAGCAGGGAAGAUAAUGACGUACCUGACUAAGAAGCACCGGCUAAAUACGUGCCAGCAGCCGCGGUA